UCCACCGUUGAUAUGAAAAAUCGUACGGCCACUAAAUAAUCAAUUCUUUUUUUUUCUCCUCUUCACAAAUAAUAUAAUAAAGUGAAAUGUUGAGAUUGGUUAAUAUCUGAUGACAAAGAUAGCUAUUUUUAACCAUUGAUUAUUUUGAUCCAAUGGAUGUAAUUCAAUUUACUCCUUGUCCAAUCAUUUUCUUUUGGUCUUCCUCUCACUCUCACGUUUCUCUCUGCUCCUCUCUCUACUGAGAUUUCAUUUCAUCAUUCUACUCUUCUUCUUUCUUCACCAUAGCAAUCCUCAUUCUACAAACACAAACCAUCAUCACUGUCACCUCCGCCACCUCCUCCUCCUUGUUCCCCACCUUCGCGGACCACAAUCGCAUCCUCCUCCUCCUUGUUCCUCAACCACAAAUCUAGAUUCGUGAAUGGAGAUGACGCUGGUGAGACUGGAGAUGAUGACGACAUUUUUUCAGGUCUCAAACAAACGUAAAUAGGCAUACGAAUCUGGGAGGAGGCACGGAAGCUGCAGAUGACGACGUCUCCGGUCAAGGCUGGAAGAGGAGGAGGCGCAAGGCUCAUGAAGGAGGCGAGGCGGCAGUUGCGUCGAAGGAGGCGCACGGAAGCUGUAGUGGGGGAGACCCUGAGGCCGGAAGCAGAGACGACGGCGUCUCCGGUCAAGGAUGGAGAAGGCCAGGCGCACUGGUUGAGGAGGCACACAUGGAAGAUGGAGAAGGGCGGCUGGAAUUUUUUUUUUUUAGGUUUAGUGUUUUUUUUUGUUUAGAGUUUUCCGGUUUAGUGUAAACCGAAUUGGAUAAACCGUUGUGGUUUACUUUAUUUUUUUUUUCUGGUUUAGCUUUGUAAACCGAAAUUUAUUUAUCAAUAUAUUUUAUUUUAUUUUUAA
Long non-coding RNA from Raphanus sativus (radish), 894 nucleotides. RefSeq lists it as uncharacterized. Lineage: Eukaryota; Viridiplantae; Streptophyta; Magnoliopsida; Brassicales; Brassicaceae. The transcript is spliced from 2 exons. The record is from RefSeq and is a predicted model, not a curated record.